GCCACGGUGGUCUAGCGGUUAGAACGCUGGCCUUGUAAUCCUGGGGUCUCGGGUUCGAUUCCCGGCGGUGGCC
Molecule: non-coding RNA, 73 nt
Organism: Zootermopsis nevadensis
Lineage: Eukaryota; Metazoa; Arthropoda; Insecta; Blattodea; Termopsidae
Source: Rfam